Molecule: long non-coding RNA, 701 nt
Filed under: Mus musculus (house mouse)
Lineage: Eukaryota; Metazoa; Chordata; Mammalia; Rodentia; Muridae
Description: predicted gene 10832
Source: RNAcentral
AAACUGACCUGACUAAGGUUAGGGCAGGUGGGAGGAGUGGAGCUAAGAGUAAUAAUAAGGGCGAAUUUUCCAGGUGGGAGGUAGAGCGCCCAGCAACUGUGCCAAGAAGACAAGUUGAAAAUGAACAACUGUGUGGGUGGUUUUUAUCUGAGGAUUUAAGGAAAGCCAGGCAGGGGCUGGUAGCUUGUCCUCCAUUCCUGGAGCAAAGAGGUCACUAAUGAGAGUCCAAAGAGAAUCACAGCAGCAGCCAUCGAAACUCCUCUUGAACAGACCGAGGAACAUCCCUGAUCUCAGCAGGGAGCUGAGGCAGGAGGAUCAUGAGUCACAGAUUUGGGCUCCCUGAUGCCAUCACCCCAGUCUCUGCCUAUGUCAUCACGUGGCCUUCUCCCCGGGUCGGAGGACCACAGACACUGGUGGGAAGCUUGAUCCAGGAUCUUCCAUUUCUAUUUGAUCCCAUUGGCAAGGCCCAAUUUCCAAGGGACCAUCCCUCAUCCCUCCCAUGAGGAAGAGAUUCUCGGCCACUCCAGAGUCUUCCUCUAGAGGGCGCUCAGCCACCCUGGAAGUGCUCAGCUCCUUGAGGGGCACAGCCUCACCCAGACAUCAAGCACUCACGCCUGCUACCGGACGGCAGGGAUGGAGGCUCUAGGUCCAACUUUUGUGGUUGACAGAGGAAUAAACGAAGACUCAAAGACAGACAGCGG